AGUUUAGCUUCUCGGAAUCGGUGU
RNAcentral lists this non-coding RNA (24 nucleotides) under Arabidopsis thaliana (thale cress). Lineage: Eukaryota; Viridiplantae; Streptophyta; Magnoliopsida; Brassicales; Brassicaceae. The record is from RNAcentral.